Prunus avium (sweet cherry) is the source of this 1001-nucleotide non-coding RNA. The record is from RefSeq and is a predicted model, not a curated record. Lineage: Eukaryota; Viridiplantae; Streptophyta; Magnoliopsida; Rosales; Rosaceae.
AUGUGAGGAAGUUUUAUGUGUCUAGUUCUGAUCUGUAAAGUUUCGCACCAUUUUGACUCAAAUUGAAUUUUUAGUCAAUUUCCCAAAUUGAAGUGUUUCUACCCAAAUUGUUUAACAAAAUAUUUAUUUGGUCAUCUAUGAUUUACUGAAAACUACUCCAUACUCUAUUUGUUGAAUUGUCUUUUUGCUUAGCAAUGGUUGAAGACCAAAUUGAAGUGCCUAGAAAAUUAGGAAGGUCGUGCUAUGUGCUGAAGAAAACUGUGUCUCGUAGGCUUGAAAAUAUGAUAAAGAAUUCUAGUUUUUCACUAGGAUCAUACUCUGUUAGCUUGUGUUUUCACUUUUAAAGCAUUUUUCAUGUUAUUUUAUUUCAAUUCAAUCCUGUUUUUCUACAUUUAGAUCUCUUUUUAUUUCAAUUCUUCAUUGUAUUCUAGUGGAAACUGAAAAAGUUGUCAUUCAGUGUUUCUAUAUGCAUUGAAAAUAUUAAAACCAAUGAGCGAUUGCCUUAUUUGGGUUUGUGGUUCUCUUUAUCUUAUAAUGUGUUUAGAACAAUAACAUUUAGGAGUCUAACUUUACUGAGGUAAUAUUCUGUUUUUGCAUGUGAGAUUAUUUGAGGAGGUGGAAGGAUUUGGUUUGGGGUUUUGGACAGAGGACCAUUUGAGGAAGAUUGAUGACUUUGAGAAGAUCAAGCAACAAUUGGCAUAGUGCUUGGGAAUUCCACCAUAUUAGAUCAUAGUCCCUAUCCCACAAUGUUAAAGAUCAUGACCACAAAACUUGGAAUUACAAAGGCAUAGUACACAUGCAUUUUUCCAGUCGAAACCUAGUCUUAGAGUGGGGGAAUAAUAACUGCAGAACUUGGGUUUACCAAGGGCAAGAAUAUAUGGAGCUUGGCCUCCAAUCUUUGAGUGGAGAGUUCUUCACACGUUUAUGUCACUAUGUAAUGUGUACUUGAAUAAUUAGUACGCUUGUGUACUUUUGAAUGAGAGAAACUUUUAUUCAUGUCA